Long non-coding RNA from Metopolophium dirhodum (rose-grain aphid), 8198 nucleotides. RefSeq lists it as uncharacterized. The transcript is spliced from 7 exons. Lineage: Eukaryota; Metazoa; Arthropoda; Insecta; Hemiptera; Aphididae. The record is from RefSeq and is a predicted model, not a curated record.
UGUUUUCACGGAGGCCCAACACACAUAACUGUUUUAAAUUAUUUUUCAAAAUGCACAGAACAAUGCUUUGGGCCGGUAAAGGCACUUAUAAUACGUGUGUCGAAGCGGUCUCGUUUCUUUGCAUCGUUAUACUUGCGGGUCAUCGGUAAAGUAAAACAUGUCAUAAAAUUAUUAAUAUUUUAUUUUAAUAAACGUUCAAGUUUGUGUUCGGUAAGCUUAACUAAAAAUAUCGUCUUGUCUAAUUUAACAUCAACUCGUUCUCGAAAUUUCCGUUUGGUAUUAAUCCGUCACUAUUUUCACGAAAAACGAUUGUGAGCGGCUACGGUUUGUCAGCUCAGGAUAUUAUAUUUACGUUGUUAUUAUUAAUACGGUAGCCGUAAUACGGAGGUAGAGGCAUGAGCAGAUACGAUUCGCGGUCCACACAAAUCAAAAUGUUUACUGGCUCUGCAAUUUAUUACGCUGUGGUUCGUUUCAACGUCAGGAACGCGCUUUUUGGGCAAAAUCUCAAAUCCUCUGGUUGCACGUUUUUUUCCAAAUACAAACAGUGGAAAGAAACAGAUACACAAAAAGCCUUGCAUCGGAAACUGGUCGGGACAACUACGGAACGCGAAUAAUAUGGUCACACUAAAUAUUGUUGUAGAGAUACCUCAGAGUCUUGACAGUAUAAUAAUACCACUGAAACUACCACCACCAGCACCACCAGCAGCAGCGGUGGUAUACAUAGUUUCCGACGAAGUUGGAUCUUGCGGGGGGGGAGGGUCUGAGUUCCAGUCCAAGGGACGGAAAUCUACGGCACAGCUGCUGCUACCCCACACUCCUCACCUACUUAUAGUCACCGUCUUUAAGAUUAGAAUUCUGAUUGAGCCCGGCGGUGGUCUUAUCCAUCCACUAGCAGACGACGGCGUACAUUAUAAUAUUAAUAUAAUAUUAUUGUUAUAUGGAAUACAGUGUGUUCGAUAACCGUGCUCGCAUAUAUUAUGAUGACGAUUUGAAAAUUAUAAUAAUCAAUACUAUAAUAUAAUAUUGGAAAAAAAUCCCCUUUAGAGCCUAAAACAACGUGGUGACUUAAUCUUAUUAUAUACUACACUUAGAUCAUAUGCAAUACACGUUAGUAGCCACGUUAAUCAUUUACUAUGUCCAGAAUAACUCCCCGCUGAUUACCUACAUAAUUUCAGAAAACACACAACUAGGGCGCUUGCGCUUAGUCGUAUAGGAACAACCCAAUCACGGCAAUGGCGCUUAAUAGUAAUAAUUUAAAACAAAAGGUAUACAAUACUAUAUAUUAUUCAAUAGCUCAUGUAUAAUGUAAGUAUACACCAUGUCAUAUAACACUACAAUAUCUUAUUACCAUGUUGUACAUUUAUUUUCAAAAAGUACCUAUUUAAAUUUUUUUUUUUUAUAAAAACAAAAGUGAAAAGUAGGUAACCGUUCUGGUGUAGAGUAGAUUUUGAGUCGUUAUAAUUUGAUCUAUAAUCUAUAUCACAUUGUAUAAUGUCCUAAAGUACCGGCGUUGGCGUGACGAUCCUCAAUAACGCGUUGUUCCUUGAAACGAGAUGCGCGUGGUAUGAAUUAUAUUCACAACAGUUCAGUUUACGAUAAACACAUUUUAAUAACACACACAUCCAUUGAACAUGAUCUAAGCUUGUACAAAUAAAUAACACCAAGGCGACUGUAGUUAAUAGGUGAGUAAUUAAUCAUAUAACUUUAAAGCAGAUAUUUUGUUAUAUUACACAAUAUUUAUACGAAUAAACUGUAUAUUCUACUUAUCCUAGAUGAAAAUAAAAUUUACUCAUAUAAUAUCUUUUAAACCUGUUAGUAUGGAUUAUACAGAAACAAUUAGUAUCAAUUUGAAAUCAUAGGUACAUAAGCAUUUACAAUAAAGAUCAUCUGCUGAAAAUCAAGUUAACUCGCCCUCCGUUGACCAUUAUAAACAGUUAGGAGAAAUAGAAUUUCCGAUCGACUUCCAUAACCUUUGUAUCAUAAUAAUUAUAAAUUAUUAUUAUUAUAUUAGUAAUUUGACUGUUGCGUAUGGUAGAAAGGCGUGCCAAACAAAAGUGGUGUGAUAUAUCAAUACCAUAAUAUUGUAACAUAUAGCUGGUUUGGGGAAUAAAUAAUAUAUUGUUCUAGGAUAACGAUUAACGACGCCUUUAGAAUAUGUGAAAACGGCAACUGUAUCAAAAUAAAUCAAUUCAAUUUUCACUUACUCCAAGGUAAUCUACGGGCUGUACAUAUUAUAAUAUUAUGCGUUUACAUUAUUAUGAUUGAUCGGCUUCGGUGGGUUCUUUUGUGUUUUUGUCGAGAAAUUAUGUUGAUGAAAACAUGUCAAUCGUUCGUUCGAAUUAAAUUCUUAAAACUUAAAGUAAUAAAUGUUUAUACUUUUUCAUUAUUAUCGCUUAUACGAGUUAAUAUUAAUAUCAAUAUUCCAAUUGAAGAAAGUUAGUAGCAAACAUUAAUGUGGAAUGAAGACAUGUACUUACGCAUAGCUCCUAGAGAAAAUAAUGUUCCUGUCAGUUUAUUGUUUGAUGUACAUGCAAAAGAAGUGUCUUUUCCAUUAAUAUACCUCGGUAAAUUUCGUAAAUUUAAAGAAGGUAUCUCUGUUACGGCAUUUUUGAUGUCAACUAGUGAACUCAGACGAUCUGACAGAAGAGGAGUUAUCCUACAUCACUUUAAUAAUUAACAUCUGUUAGUUUAAACAUUUUAAUCUCACACAGUACAGUUGGUAUUACUGACACCGUAAUUUGGGUUGGCAAUAUGCAUAUGUGUGAAUAUAGAGUCACGUCGUCACUGGCCAGUUUUCGUUUUGCGGACUGCUAUAGCGUCUACUUCAAAAACACUACCCAACAAUCGUCGUACAACAAUUGCACUUCUUGUGAAUAAUUAUUUUACACAUCGUAUAGUAAAAAAAUAUGUAAAACGGUUUUGAGUGAAAGUUUCAAGAAAAAAGUCUUAAAAAAGCAGUCCAGGCAUAAUAAAUUAUUAAGAAUUCUGCAGAUCUAAAAAAAUAAAUAGGUACUUACUUUGAGUAUAAAGUUAAUGCAAGUAUUCUUGUUUGCAUAUUUCGAUUGUGUGUGGCAAUCGCAUUAUAUGAGUUUUUUACAGAUGCAUCGAUAGACAUGUAACAAACAUAUAGCAAAUCAUAAAUUCCAAUCAUAUUGAUUAUCUUAAUACUAUCUUAUUACCGGUCAGUCCCAGGUUCUGUUCAAUUCAAACGCCAUUCGAGGAAAACCCUGGGGAAACCUACAACUUCACAGGCAUUUUUUGCGACGACAACACAGUUACGACAGGCAAACUGCAAGGAUCGAAUAUAAUAUCAUCACUAGUCGAGGAGAUAUUUUCAAUUAUUAUUCUUAACUAGAUAUUAUAAUAUUACGAGAACACCCCCAAGUUUGUUAUCACUAAACGUGUCGAUAUCAGCUCACGACAAACACAAGUGGACAGACUACAGUAAGCUAUCGAAACGGCGAGUGGGUGAUAUACGCACCGCGAUUCCCCGGGCGCAAAGGGUAUAGACGAACGUGAUUUCAACACAAAGCCCCGCAAAAUGUAGUUCCACCUAUAACCGGUAUAGACACACAUUCCGGAUUGAUAUAGCGUUAUUGGUCAAUUUACGUAAAACGCUACGCCGCUCCUCAAAGUGGUUGACUCUCCUUAAGUGGGCCCGGUGGAGAUCGAACCAGAUGGAAUAAUUCAGUCGGUCGUAUAUUCGUAUUUGCAAAAAAAAAGUCGCAGUGAAUGAAAUUUGACUCUGACUUCAAAACGGCGUACACUGCAACGUAUAUUUCCCCAAAUUGUUCUGUUCGCCCAUACAUCGAAAACUGUACGAGCUCAAAUAAAUUAUUGAAAGCUUUUUUUUGAAAAUAAUCCUACAAAAAAGUCGCGCAGCAAAAAAAAAUGUUUUAUAUUUUACCAGCAUUGCGUUUUUUUCAUAAACGCCGUAUUAUAGCUAUAAUCUAUACAAUUAAUAAACAACAAAACAAAAUAAAGUUAAUUUUGAAUAGAUAUCGUGAAUUUGUUGUUUAGUAGGUUCAUAAUAAUACAACAGUCAUAAAUUUAACCAAAUUUUAACGAUAAUGAGAUUCAAAGUAAUAUGAUAAAUGUUGGUUUUAAGAGUGUAGGUAUUAUAAUAUUAUGAUUAAUUGAAUAACUUAGGCAUUAAAGUUUUGGCAUGGUGCGAGAAUACCAUCAAUUUGCUAACCUAUUAUUAUACACAAUUCAACACAAUAAGUGUUGUUUUGUACAUUUUUUUUCAUAUUACAGUAUAAGUUAAUUAUGAUUUUUGGAUAUUUCGUAUUUAGAUUUAAUAAUAUAACGCAUAUUUAACACGCUAUACCGUUUCGUGUCGGUUAACAAUUUGUCAUUCUAAUUCAUUUCAUUUAUGCGCGUACAUCCGAAAUACUGUAGGUAAUUAUUAUUAUUUAAGCCAAACAACUCGGGAUAUUCAAAAAUAAUAAGCCCUAUUGAAAUUUGUAACGAAUGAUAACUGCAGUGUAAAGUGAAUUCGAAUUAGCUCGAAGUGUUUUCGUCGCUGUUAUAAUAUACAAUAUAACGUGGCUCGGUCAAAAUAACAACAGCUACGCAGUGUGAGUGACGUUUUGGGUUGCCAAAAAUAGCGGAAUUACGUCCCCAAAAAUACCGACCAGAAAACGGUACCGUGAUAUUUUGAUAAUAAUGUUAAUAAUGUUGGAUGCCAAAGUUAAAUAUUAUUAAAAUAAAAUGUUUAAUACGGCCUCGGCGUAUGAAUUGCUGGCGGCACCCAAAUUCUUUUCUACAAAACGAUCUUAAUAAUCUCUGAUAUCUCACUUUGUGCUCAUAUUAUAUUACUAUACAAUAUUACACCCACGGUGUGUAUACAAUAUAGAGGGUAAUUUAUGCAUUCAAGAAACAAAGAUUAAAUACAGAUGAUUUUUGAAAUUCCACAUAAAAAUUAUAUUAUCAAUAAUAAUUGAAAAUACGUCGAGUCCAUAAUAAUAUUAUGUGUUGUACGCAUAUAAGAUUAGUUUUUGCGUUUUCGUUUAAGGCCGGUUAGGUUAGAAGCCGGUGUAGAACGUAUUACAAUUAUGUUAAGUUUUAAAUGUAAUUUUCAUAAAAUUGUAAUUAAUGGUUGUCAUGCGUUUUUAAAAUAUGCUUAUCGGCCGAAUCUAUUAGCGAUGUAAACUACUUUUUUAACUACGUUAUGUAAUAAGGUAAAAAAAAAAAUAAUAAUAAUAAACGAUAAGAACUGUUAGUAUAAUAUUGUAUUAAUAUGUAAAAAAAAAUAUACGCUUAGCAAACCGCCAUAUAAUAAAUCUGUAUGUAGUUAAAUACCUACAUAAAGUCGAUGUAACUUAAGUGAAAAUAAACGCUAUUUUCCCGUGUGUAUUACCAAUACUAUAUAAUUUAAUGGCACGACACUGUAUAAAUUUUAGAAUGCAAAACGAGCUUUGUGCAUUGUGCUUUAAUCAAAAGUUACGUGUUAUGAUAUUUAUAGAAAUAUAAUAAGUACCUACAUAAUUAGUCGUAUUGUAAUGACAUUAUAUUUAAACUAUAUUCUAUUCUUUUCUUAGUCAUAUUAUAUUAUUUACCUAUGUGUAGGUGCUUGUAUUUUUGUAUGUAAAACUAAACUGUGAUAUUAUUUUUAAAAAGUUAUUGGUAAAGCAUUUAAAACAGUUUUUUUUUAGACAGAAACAGAUUUUAAAAACAUAAUAUUAUAUUAUGUAUUAUUGUACUAAUUCAAUACGUUGUAUAGAGUUGUGCAUAUAUUAUGCAAUAUUGUUUGUAAAUAGUCUUAUAUACAUUUACUUACACGUUCGUUUUGUUCUAAAAUAUUUAAAUUUAAAGGUCAUUUACGUCUUUGUAGUUUAAAACAUCAAAAUCUAUACAUUAUUAUCAAUAAAUGUUAUUACAUAUUACGUGCAUAUAAUGUACCUAUUACACUACCUACCCAUAACUAUUAAACUAUAAUAGUAGUACGAAAAUAUAAUAAUAUAUCGAUUUCAUUUGAAUUAUUAAUUUAAAUAAAAAACAAAUAUUCUGUUUCGAUUACGUAUUGAUUACUGUAAUAAGAAUCACAAAAACAUUUUGUAUGUAUAAUAUAGUGUACCUAUAUAUUAAUGUAUAGAAAAAAAUAAACUGUAAAUCAAGAAAUUGUAGAGACUGCAUAUUUAUUAUUAUUGUUAUUAAUUGCAACGAUAUAUGAAAGGCAACUAUUAAGUAUUAACUAAUACGAACGCCUCUUUUUACACUAUUUCAUAAUGUCGUAUUAGAGUAUUCUAUUAGUUCACUCACUCUCUCUUAUAUUAUUCAUCUUUCAGUUUUAAUGUUUAAACUUUAAAUUCUUUAUUUUGAUGAUAUAUUUUUUAUUGAAGUCUUUCGACGCUGGUUGAAUCGUUUAAGUUAAGAACUCGUCAACUGUUUGUGAAAAUUUUAAGUCCUUAGACUACACAAUACGGUCGUGGAAUUUGAAAACUUGGUACGGCGGUGAGUGACAAAUUAAGAACUUUUAUAAUUUUAUCAAGGAAAAAUAUAUUAAGGGCUCGGAGCAUUUUUUUAAAUGCCGCGUCUUUUGAUUAUCUCUCUGGUAGCAUUUGCAUAAUAAUUGCUUCACUCGUUUAAGCAAAUAUAUAAUAUAAAUACAAUUCGUUAAGUACUGCUAUUUCACGUUAUUUUAGGGUUUCCGCUAAUUCGUAUGUUAAGUACCUAUGGUUGGAUUAAAAUUAUUAGACUGCCGAAAUUUUAAUUUUGUUUAAUGCUGAAUGAAAAAAGAACUUACUGAUAUACAGCCGAUAGCAGGGUCUUGGCGUUCAUCGCUGCACUAGGCCACAGGAUUAGUGAUAUACAUUUUAAAGCAACGAUAAAUAAUUGUAUAAAAAAACGAUUUUACAAAUUGUUCUGUUAUUUACUAUUUAUAUAAUACAUUAUGCAGGAACAAAAUUAUUUAUAAGUGUACAUUUUUACUUUUGUUUAGUUUUAAUAUACAUAAUAUAUUUUGUAUGUGUAUUAUUACGUAGUAUAUACAUUAUACAUUUAUACAUUAUACCGUUUUGUGAACAAUAUUUAUGUGACCAUAAAAAUGGACUUAUUAGCAUUACAGUUUGUAUGUAUUGAUUUAUUAUUUAUAAAAUUACGAUAUAAAAUGCAUUAUUGAUAAUAAAAGGUUCGUGGUAUUGACAUUUUUAUUACAAAUAAAAUAUGAAAUGAUAUGUAUGGUAUUUCGAAUAGGAAUUCUCUUAAAAUAUAAAACAGAAACGAUUACAGUCAAAUUGAAUGGCUAAGAAUUUUGACCUGUUAUCGUGAAAUUGUGAAAACCUACGGAAACCUUGUCGAACUCGUAACUCAAUAGUUCUUACUUCUUACACGUGUAUACUCUAAAAAAAAUUUAAACAAGUUUCGAUUACGUUUUCGUCGAGAUUUUACAACGUUUGUAAGUAUUUUCGUGGUAAAAGAUAAAAAAGAAAAAUAAUAUGAACAUCGUUCACUCAUUCUGGUGUUCGGGAAAUGCCACUUUGAAAAAUCGACAUAAAUUUAUAGUAAAUGUUUACUCGAUAUUAAAAAAAAAAAAGAGUAUGAUGUAUACUUUCCCCCGUAUCAGCCAAAAAUAUUAUAUUAUGUACGAUAUUGUUUAGUCGACAAUGGUCGGAAGCUAUCGCACUGCGAUAGGAGGUCGUGGCUAUAUAAUUCUCGCGUGCAGCUUGAUUGGCAUACACAAACACACACACACACGUAAGUUACACAUUUCAUGUAAUACGUCAUGUCCUCAUGUAAAACAGUACACUUUUAAAAGAAGCGCAGAUGCGUUAAUACGGUAGCUGAAAAUACUGAUUUGUACAUCGAAAAACGUGUUAUCGGCUGCAUACAAGGAAAUCAGGGGGAGGCUCCUUUGGAAGGGCUUAUUCCCCUUCAAAUAUAUCCCAAGUAUAUCCAAAACAUUUGCACUUUUGAAGAGUUUUAUUUUUUUUUUUAGUAUUAAAGCAAUUUAAGAAAUUCUAUUUUGUUUUAUUUAUUUUUUUUUGGCUGACCCUCUCCAUAGCUGACCGAUAAGAAUAAAAAAGAUAGGUUAGUACAUUUUCAAUGUUUGCUGUAGUUGAAAUAAUUUUAUAAUACAAUUGUAAUUAAAUGUAAUUUAUUGUUAAAUAAAUGUAUUAUGUAAUAUCACAUAAUUAUAUUUAUGAUAAAUGGUAAAAAAAUAUUCGAAACAUUUUUACAGUGUGUGUGGGACGGUG